This is a non-coding RNA of Labrus bergylta (ballan wrasse), 2053 nucleotides long. The record is from RefSeq and is a predicted model, not a curated record. Lineage: Eukaryota; Metazoa; Chordata; Actinopteri; Labriformes; Labridae.
CAUAAAUAGGCCACACAGGAAGAAGCCCCUCCUCAGUUACACUUCAGUUCAGCUUGGUGUUCAGACAGUCAACAUGGAGGUCGGCGCGCUCUGCAUCAAACUCUUGGUCCACGUGUUAUUCCUGCUGUGUGCACAUGUUCAGGACGUUGAUUCACUGAUUCUCCGUCUUGAACCAAACAGACUGCAGUUCUUUGAAUACGAGUCUCUGAUCUUCCAUUGUGAGGGCUCUCAAGACUCGACUGGAUUGAAAAUUGUACAUUGGUCCAAAGGGGAAUUACUCAAAUGUAACACUACAGUGACAUCAAAAAGGUCAUCCUGCACUAUUCCUACUAUUUUUCCAGAGGACAGUGGGCAAUACUGGUGUGAGUCCAGAGAUGGGAACAGAAGCGACAUCAUCCACAUCAAUGUUACUGAUGGUCCUGUGAUCCUGGAGAGUCCCAUCAGUGUGGUGGAGGGAGAGGCUGUGACUCUUCACUGCAGACACAAGACGACCUCACCCAACCUCUCAGCUGAUUUCUACAAAGAUGGCCACAAUAAUAGUAGAAGCUCUACAGGAAACAUGAGCAUCCCCAGUGUUUCCAAACAUGAUGAAGGAUUCUACAAGUGUAUCUCUGGAGGAAGAGAAUCAGCCGAGAGUCUGAUGGCUGUCCAAGAGUCACACCAAGAGAGUCGUGCGUCCUCAGAUGUUCCGUUCAUCAUCUUCAGAAACGUUCUCCCUGUAGUAAUGAUGGCUUUCCUGCUGAUGCUACUGGUGCUGCUGGAAGGGCUCCACUGUGGGAUAACUCUGAGGUAAACCCACAGGUAAACAACAGCACCUCAUGUGCACUCAAAUCGAGAUGGAGAUACUGAAAUAAAGGAUACGACAGGAUGAACUAUAAAGACAGACAUUUUCUCCAAAGUCUUGUUUGGUUGCCAGAAAUGAAGAGCAUCCCAUAAUGCUUCAUUCAGCUGCUCAGCUGCUGUCUUCCAUGUGUUACAGUGCACCUUGUUCAUUAUGUGUAAUGAUGAUCCACUUAUAUUCAGUGCAUGUUGUGCUAUAAGAAUCCAAUCCAUAGAAAUGUUUUGAAAUGAGCAGAUCAAAGAAAAUGGCAGCACUUCCUGUUUGACAUGUUCCACAUAUUUAAUUCACAUGUUGAUGAAUGUUCAACAGAUGUUCGUUCGUCUUCUGUAUAAGGACCUGAAGAUAUCACAAGUCAAAUAACACUGUGCACAGUUUGUUUCAGUGUCUUUCUAUAUUUGCAUCUGUUGAUGAAUAAUAAAUCACACACGAGAGGUAGCAGGAUUUAGGAAAGUUUUAACAAAUAGGAUUCAAACCUAAGCCUCCAAGAACCCAAAAUAACAGGAUAGCAAAAGAUCAGAAAGGUUAAAGCAAAAAAUUCCUUUCAUUUCAUCAAAAUCAAAUCAAAAAUGUGCUAAAUAAGGUGAAACGUUUCAAGCUUAAACAAGGAGGCUAUAAUCGUAGCUUAGACUAAACUCCACUUUGGGUGACCCAAGUGACACUCAAGAAAUUGGUUUAGACUUAUUGUAAUAAAACGUAAACUAAAUGGUGCCUGAUGUUCAAGUGUUCUACUAAGUAUUUUGGCAACAGUGUGGGAUAAUUCAAUCUAUACUCAAAACAGAGCAAGGAGUAUCCAGAGUAAUGACGGCGACAGUUCACUCAGCUGGUACCAACCGACCUUUGACACAGGAACCCCUCUAUUCUUUGAUCCAGUAGGUCGCAGUGUGACUGCUGAAUGAAGGACGAGCAGCACAUGAGAUGUUUGGUUGAACCUGAUGUGUGAAAAACCACUUUUUAUUUUAUUUUGCAUUGUAGAAAUGGUUUUCAUGCUUUGCGCCCUACAUGUGUUGAUGUUUAAAGAUAUAUUAAAGAGAUGUGGUUUGUAUUUUCAGAUGUAUUAUCUGUUAUUAUAUGGUGACAGUUAAACCCACAUGUUCCAUCUGCUGUGUGUAUUUUCGUGAGUGUGAAACUGUGGUCAACCACCACCUUGAUGCUGCAGCUUCACUUUCAACUGAAGCACGCUGACCGAGUCCAAAUAAAAAAAUGAGUCUGACA